This 58-nucleotide transfer RNA is filed under the name Acinetobacter baumannii. Its description in RNAcentral is "tRNA-Val". It matches the Rfam family "tRNA", at positions 8 to 63 of the family's 71-position model. Rfam says of the family: Transfer RNA (tRNA) molecules are approximately 80 nucleotides in length. Lineage: Bacteria; Pseudomonadati; Pseudomonadota; Gammaproteobacteria; Moraxellales; Moraxellaceae. The record is from RNAcentral.
UAGCUCAGUUGGUAGAGCGUCUGCCUUACAAGCAGAAUGUCGGCGGUUCGAUCCCGUC